Heterocephalus glaber (naked mole-rat) is the source of this 3934-nucleotide non-coding RNA. NCBI's taxonomy places the organism in Eukaryota, Metazoa, Chordata, Mammalia, Rodentia, Bathyergidae. The record is from RefSeq and is a predicted model, not a curated record.
UAGCAUAUUUAGGGUUUAAAUUAUAAAAAUAGGCAUUUAGAGGCAUUUUUCUGACCACAUCUGAAAUUUGCGGUUUUCACAAUUCACAGGGUACUGUAGGAAUGUAACCUCAGAGAAUUUUGCACUAUAUUCUAAAGGUGUGUUAUCUCUUAAAGAGGGUAAGCAGUAAAAGUGAUAGGGACAGGUAGUAACAAACGAGGAUGCUUUCUUUUAAAAACACUAAGAGUGAAAGCGCUAAGGAUAGGGGAGGUUGGAAGGCGGAGGCAGGGCCAAUAACCAGCUCUGCUUCAUCAGGUUGCUUAAACCAUCUCCAUGGUGAGAACCGAGCACUGGAGCUUUAAGACAUCUAAAGAGCAAUAAUUAGUACUAUUCUUGUGUGCUAGAGGAGAUGAGAUAAAGGUAGAAUAUAAAGACUGAAUUAAGCAUUAGGGUCAUGUCAGCGUGACCAAUAUCUUCUUUGCUUUUUUUCCCUUUUAGAGCUAAGUUGUCUACAUGUUGGAAAAGAAACUUGGAACCAGAAUCUCUUCAUCACCAAAUAUGUUUUAAUUGCUAAAUAUGCCCGGUUUAAAUAGAUAUCACCUAAUCUGUUCAUCUACAGAGUAUGAAAUGUAGGCUUUUAAAGGAAAUGAAGGUCUAUAUAAGUCUUUCCAGACAAAUUUUGUUUGAGGAAUGUAUUAAAAAUAUUAAUCUCUCUUUCACCAACUCGAUGACAGAUUUAAGUAGAACAAUAUUGUACAAAUCAGAAGCUAGUGCUGUGUAUUAAAGUUAAAUGAUAAUCUACAGUAACAGGGGGCUAUAAUUUAGAUAACUGAAACCAUGGUCAACUUAAAAAAAACACUUUUGUGAAAUGUGGUCACCUAAAUACACACUCACACUUUAUCAACAUCAGCCUUUCUCUCUGGUCUCAUCUUAGUCACCUGAGACCUUAAAAUAAGGCCAAACUUCACCCUCCCCCACCUUAGUGUUGCUGAUAGAGUGACAGAGGCACUAGGUGGACCUUGACGAUCAUCCAGUUUCAACCUUUUUUUGUCAUGUGGCUGUACAGAUUUUGUUUAAAUAUCUCCAAGGAUUAAAAGUUCCUUGCAUCCAAAAGAGCACUUCUUUUUUCAGUAUGGGAAUUGAACCAAGAAUUUUGCCUAAACUAUAUCCCUAGUCCUUUUUCAUUUUUAAAAUUUUGAGACAGGAGGUCACAAAGCCACUAAGUUGCCCAGGCUGGGCUGGAACUUGUAAUCUUCUGGCUCCAGCCUCCCGUAGUAUGGGGGUUAUAGGCAUGCACCACCAUGCCCAGUUUUAGGUCUAGGCAAUAAAUGGAAAAAUGCACUUUACACUAUUGAUUAGGCAUCUGCACCCAUUUGGAGUCCUUCUAUAGGUCCUAUUUCUGACCUUUUGGUGAUAGUUUUAAAAUACUGCUUAUUUCACGUGAUAGCAUUGGAAGGUAGCUAUCAUUUCAAUCCCAAAGGGUUUCCUUCCAACUUCCACAGAACUCCUGAGAUUAAAAUUUAUUCAUCAUCUUGAGUAUUACCCUCUGGACACCUCAUUUUCCAAUAAAUCUUAACGUAUAGCACUCAGAAGCAAGGAUAAUAUUAAAAGGAUAAUAAAAGACCAAGAAAAGGAGAAAUUUCUCAGAAUAAAUUGAGGUCAAGAGUGUGAAUAAGUACAAAUCUGUGGGAUUAAAGUAUACAUACAUACAUUUACAUAUAUAUAGUAAUUGUGAAAAAAGUAUUUUAAGAAAAAGGUUAGUUAACAAAACAUUUUAAUGAGUUUCACUUUGCAAAAUACACCCAAGAGGCAAUCAUAUUACAAAGAGAGCUUAAACCAAGGCCUUCUACAGUCGUGUCUCAGUUCUUAAGACUAACUUCUGAAAUGCUUAAACAACAUAAAAGAUGUAAAGUGAAAAUAUAAUCUUGAAUGAACAAAUAUGAGAAAUAGUCCUCUUUGAACUAGGGAUCCAGCAUGUUGGAGUUUUCAAAAUCAUUCUCUCCAAGGUGGUCACUGUGGUUGGUGUGGAUCCAUAUUUGACAUACUCAGACUACUUCAACUCAGGUAACCCCACACUGAAGUGUACUACCAAAAUGUUAAUUGAGAUAAGUGGAAGAAAGUGGUUUUCUCUCUCUCUUUUUUUUGGUACUGGGGAUCGAACUCGGGACCUUGUGCUUUCAAGGCAGGCGGCAGAACCAUUGAGCUAAAUCCCCGGCCCAGAAAAUAGUUUUCUCAAUAAGUGGUUUACUCAAUAUCAUAUUCUAGAAGAAAAAUUUGUGUGAGAAAACGCUAAAGAGAUAAUUUUUAAAUCCAGAUUUCACAAACUAGUGGUCAUAAUACAUCCCAGAGCUUUCUCUAGAGUUAUAAACUGCCCAUCACUGCUUAGUGGCUGCGUGUGAAACUUUGAUUGAAAUAACUCCGAUGUUCCUAACAAAACUAUUCACAUCCACCCAUGCUAUUCUGACCAACAGCCACUCUCGAGUUGGCUCUCCAGCCACUGUAGGUCACGUGGGUGGCUCCCCGCCACCGUCAUUGGGCUGUUCUAAGUCCUGUUGCUGGCCCCUGUUGUUGAAUUCAGGAAAAGUUCUAUGUAUCUGUGCUGCAUGUUGGCCCUGUCUUUCCUCAUAGCUGUCAGUUUCUUUGUGGGUGGGAAACUCAACUUCUGUGAUAUCUGUCACUCUUCAGUCAGGGCCAAUCCCAUUAUGGACUCUCACAGGUUUGGGCAGAGAGAAGUUGUAGAUGUCAUUCUAGGUGGUUGGUAGGGCAGCCCCCUCCUGUGAAUGCACGGCUUGGUGGUCUCUGCCCACCAGAGUCCCCAUAUUUUGCGUUGUAGGUACCAAACCUCAGCUUCUCCAGGCCCGCCUGCUUCAUAAUGCCAAUGUACCUGUAGGCUGUGCUGCCAGGCUGUGCCUGGCUGCUGCAUGGACAUGAACUUCAGGAUCUGAGCAUGACCUAACCUCCUCCUGGCUGCUCUUGAACACUACAGUGUAUGUACCUGGGUACUGUCCUCUCCUAGUUCUUCCCUAGAACCCUCUCAGCUGACUCCUGCAAAGUGAACUGCAUGAAGGCCUCACCAGUAAUCUUGCCCUCCGGCCCCACAGUCGUGUAAUCCUGUUUGGCAUGAUUUCCAACCCUGAGAAAAUCUGCUCCACGAACAGAAGGUUUCAAAGGUGCUGUUCGACAAGUGACGGCUGGCUCCAUCACGGUUGGCGCCCGAACAGGGACCUGAAUACGGGGGACCAUAGUGAAGGACACCGCGGAUUGUGAGCUCGGAUAAGUAAAUUAAGGGCGGUGAAUACACUCGGGAGUAACAAGAUGGGUAUUGGUAAUAGCGGAAUGCUUUUUGAACGUAUGCUUAAAAAUAUGCUUCGCGCUCGUGGAGCAAAGGACGCUGAAGGUGCCAGGUGGCUACCUGAAAGAUUGGUCCAUUUUGCGGAAAAUUCUCCUGCCCCUUAGGAUGAUCCUGACAACUGUCCUGCUGAUAAAUCUAAUGAUGACGCUUAAUGAGAAGGUGUAUUGGACUUAUGUACCUGAUCCACCUGUUGUACAUCCAACGAGCUGAAAAAAUGGAGAAGUAGUGGUAUGGGUGAACAAUACCAGGCUGUUGGAUGAGCCGGCGGCACCUGACAAGAACGAGGUCCAAUUGUUCAACUAUAUGGGAUCAGAAACCGGAAUCCCCAUAUGUUUCUCCAAAAUCAACAGAACUGAUUGUGUAAGACUGAGCGCUCGCACCCUGGCAGGAAGGCAGGUAGAUCAAUGCAAAGGCAGGAUCACUGGAGUCCAUCUACAUCUACCUGUGGGUAUAGAGACCACUGGUGUAGUGCCUCUGACUUUUAAUGCUCCAAUGGGACUGUUCCAUGGAAGAGAUGUGUGGCAGAUGCCCCUGUGAGAUAUAAUAUUACUGGAUUUGAUACUUAUGUUUUGGACUGGUCUGAAAAUUCUUGUCAUCCCAAAA